UCUCAGUCAGCACCAUAAAGCAAUGUUUUCUGAAGGACACGUCUGGAGUUGUCCAACAAUUUUCCAGAGCUUCUGACACUACUUCUGGUAAGCUUCUUGAAGCUAGUAAUCUCAAUGUUUCUGAUUCUAUUAUUUCUGAAAGGAUCUUACCAAACCAAUCACCUCCCACUUCUUAACCUAUUUCAUCUUUUUCUCAACCAAUAUUUUCCCAACCAAUCUCU
Molecule: long non-coding RNA, 221 nt
Filed under: Lathyrus oleraceus (garden pea)
Lineage: Eukaryota; Viridiplantae; Streptophyta; Magnoliopsida; Fabales; Fabaceae
Description: Pisum sativum (pea) long non-coding RNA (PSAT_LNC039598)
Source: RNAcentral